AUGGUGGACAAAUUUGGCUGCUUGCAACCACUCUAAAAAAUGCUAAAACUGCAU
This 54-nucleotide non-coding RNA is filed under the name human gut metagenome. The record is from RNAcentral.